Molecule: ribosomal RNA, 1068 nt
Filed under: Triticum aestivum (bread wheat)
Lineage: Eukaryota; Viridiplantae; Streptophyta; Magnoliopsida; Poales; Poaceae
Description: partial small subunit ribosomal RNA
Source: RNAcentral
AUGCUGAAAUCUUACAUGCCGCCUGCGAGCCGAAUGCAUGUUUUCGUCCGGCAAUACACGAGACUUCAAUUUGACCGGGAACGCGACGAAAGCUACGAGGAAAAGAGGACCAUGAUUGGAGGCGCCGUCCGGCGGACUAACCUUGCGAUUGAGCGGCACGCCAGCAAAAUAUAUACCAGGAAUAUGUUUGAGGAAUUUGGCCGGCUGCUUUUAGAAGGGACGGCAUACAACGUCACUGAAGUUGAGAGGAUGAAGAAAUACAUCACAACACACAAUAAUGCAGCGAAGAGAGAGAAGUGGAGCAGAGUGGAAUAUGAGGUGACCAUCAACGAUGACAAAUCAAUAUUCACGUGCGAGUGUGGUCAGUUUGAACACACAAGGAUGCUUUGCUGCCAUGCCUUAAGGGUGAUGGAGAUUCUACAUUUGGACGAGAUUCCGAAGCACCAUAUCCUUAAACGGUGGACAAGAGACGCAAGGGAUAUACUCCCAGAUCACCUGGUUCAGUACCAGAAGGACAAAGCACAUAAUUUGUCUUUCACAUGCAGACACGCGAGGCUAUACUUUAAGGCCAUGGAGGUAGUGCGAAUGGGGGACGCAAGCACUGCAUGCUAUGAGCACAUGCAUGCCGGCCUGGAUUCUCUUCUACGUUCUGGAGCACCUCUGGCGGUCACAAGGGACGGUUUGGCUUUCGAGGAUCGUCUCAUUCAAAAUGGAAAUGGCUGUCAGGCUGCGAAUGGCGAGCCUGCUUUGGUUGAUCAUGGAGCUGAACCAUGCCACAGUGCUGCGAAUUCUGUAAAUGUGAAUGCCCUGCAGUGCCUCGAGGCGCCAGACAAGCGUAGAGGUGCUGGCAGGCCGACGAACUGUAGGGAGAAGGCCCCGUACGAAGGGCUGAGUAAGAGAACCAGGUUCUGCAGCAUUUGCUGCCGUGAGGGCCACAAGAGGACCACAUGCCCAGGGAGAGGGGAUGCGCCAAAGAAGCCGCGGAAACCCGGCAGAUGCAAGAACUGCAGCAUAGAAGGGCAUCGGCGGGAUACAUGCAAGAGACCUCUUAGGUUUGCCGAGAGCUGA